UUACAUUCAUCAGAUGUUAAAAACUACGUGGGCUGCCGACAGUUGAAUCCAGGGGCCUCGGGAUAUCCAUAAAUACUAUCGUAUACGCUGCAUAUGAUCAAAAAUGGCUAUUCAAUAACGACAAAUCAACCCCUCUUACAAGAUGGGGCUAUAUUCCAUUUUCUGAAAUGGCCCGAGGUUCAGAGAAUCUUUGACUAGCGAGGGGUAUUUAACUUGCAAAUGAAGGGAUUUCUAGCUCCGGAUAAUGGAAUGCUGAUCCUACACCAGACGAAGCACGAUGGUAAAUAAAACAAGCGACAUUGGUCACAAGUAGGAAGCAAGACAAUUUCCAUUGAAUCCUCUGACAUCUUCCAGGAAUGCCACCCGUAAUUCCCCAUAUUUUUCCAAGCAGACUGGCUGUUCGCUAAUUCGUUAUUUAGCUUACUGGCUGCCCCUCGAAUUUCGUGGCUGCUUGCUGGGAAAUAUCAGUAUAUAUGCAAAUUACACGUGAGCAGUGAUAUCUGGUGAUAGCAAACAGACUAGGAUAGAAUAGUUUGCGAUAGAAUAGUUUGCAGCUUUUGAAUGUCUAUGGACUGGGAAUGUUUAUUGUAGAUCUGUACGUGUAACUACGGAGCUGUUGUGCACUUUAAUUGCUAGAAAGCUCCAACGCCAGCAGCUCGACAAAUCAGUGUGGUUUCCCCAUUGUGCUACGUUCUCCAACCCAGAGACAUCUUGCUCGCCCAUAGCUGAAGCAUUCAGAAUUGAAGAAGGGCUGAUCCCACACUGGUAGCUAGUUUUCAGGCCAUGCUUGGGUAUGCCAGCCAUGUUGCAUCGCUUUGAUAAAAAAAAAAAUACGUCGGGAGAUUCACAUAAACGGAAAUCUAUACAAACCCCAUCC
Molecule: small RNA, 877 nt
Filed under: Histoplasma capsulatum
Lineage: Eukaryota; Fungi; Ascomycota; Eurotiomycetes; Onygenales; Ajellomycetaceae
Also listed under: 1 other name
Description: hypothetical RNA
Source: RNAcentral